CGACUYUCGGCAACGGAUAUYUCGGCUCUCGCAUCGAUGAAGAACGUAGCGAACUGCGAUACUUGGUGUGAAUUGCAGAAUCCCGUGAACCAUCGAGUCUUUGAACGCAAGUUGCGCCCGUAACCWUCCGGUGAGGGCACGUUUGCCUGGGUGUCACAC
RNAcentral lists this ribosomal RNA (159 nucleotides) under Melaleuca citrina. RNAcentral describes it as "5.8S ribosomal RNA". It matches the Rfam family "5.8S ribosomal RNA". Rfam says of the family: 5.8S ribosomal RNA (5.8S rRNA) is a component of the large subunit of the eukaryotic ribosome. The record is from RNAcentral. Lineage: Eukaryota; Viridiplantae; Streptophyta; Magnoliopsida; Myrtales; Myrtaceae.